UACGGAGGAUCCAAGCGUUAUCCGGAUUUAUUGGGUUUAAAGGGUGCGCAGGCGGGAGAUUAAGUCGGUGGUGAAAUUUUGCAGCUCAACUGUAAAAGUGCCAUUGAUACUGGUUUUCUUGAGUGUAGAUGAAGUAGGCGGAAUUUGUGGUGUAGCGGUGAAAUGCAUAGAUAUCACGAGGAACUCCGAUUGCGCAGGCAGCUUACUAAACUACUACUGACGCUCAGGCACGAAGACGUGGGGAUCAAACAGGAUUAGAUA
This 261-nucleotide ribosomal RNA is filed under the name uncultured prokaryote. Its description in RNAcentral is "partial 16S ribosomal RNA". It matches the Rfam family "Bacterial small subunit ribosomal RNA", at positions 524 to 784 of the family's 1533-position model. The record is from RNAcentral.